Molecule: long non-coding RNA, 1230 nt
Organism: Ochotona curzoniae (black-lipped pika)
Lineage: Eukaryota; Metazoa; Chordata; Mammalia; Lagomorpha; Ochotonidae
Exons: 7
Source: RefSeq, a predicted model, not a curated record
GUGGUGUGGACUUGGGAAUGGAAUCAGCCGCUGCCUUGUGGCGUUUUGCAUGGUCCCUUGUCGAGGCCAGGCCCGAAAGGGCCUGCUCCCCUGGGCCUUAAAGGCUUCGGGAAGGAUCGCGGGGAGUCGCGGGGGACAAGAUGGCGGCGGGCGGCCCUCCCUGUGAUGAGGACCCUUUCACAGACCUGUGCUGAGCUCCGUGAGGACAAGUAACUCUGAGGAGCCGGGCCUGCACGGCCGCUGCCAGCCCCGGGCUGCUCGGCGCGCCCCACGUGCCCGCCUGACCCCUGGUUCUCCCUGCAGGACUCGGAGGUUGCCCUUGCAGGCUCGGGAGGCGGCCCGCUGCUCAAUGGGGUCCAGCUCGAGGAGGCCUCCUGCGUGGACCAUGCGGCCACCUCCGUGCGUCCCCGCGACGCUCCAGUGUCUCAUACCGGGUCCGGAGGAACUCCGUAGCUGGCCAGAGUGAACGCAGGCUCUCCUGGUGGAGUUCUCUGAUGGUGGCCUAGGCCUGGGUUUCUCCGGAGUCUUCAGAGCAAGAAGGUCCUGUCACUGCUGGCGACCCGCUCCCUGUGCACAGCAUGCUGCGAUUCCACCAGGUGAGUGGCUGCCACAUGCACUGCGGGAAAUCCUAAACUGGCUUGGCACAGGCUCCUUCCUGGGCGCACGUGAUGACUUCCAUGGAAUCUCGUUCGGCUGAUGGUGUACUGUUGAGACUCGGAAAUCUGAUAACACAUCUUUGGUAGAUUGCACAUUAUUUUGGUGCAAGUGACCCUGAUGGGCUCCAUCUUUUUGUUUUAGGUACAGAACUUUGAAGACCACCACAGUUGAUCUGAGAUGUGCUUUCCUGUCUUGCAGUGAAGCCGAGCUGUGUUACUGCUGAAUUCGCCUGACUUCACCUGCAGGUGAAGGUAAGCAGUCUUGAAUGCCCAGUGGGCUGAACUGGGAUGUCCCAAUGAGGAAACACUCCCACGUCUAACUUCCUGUCCUGGUCCCAGAGCCUGCAAAGGUGAACCCACUGGGGCUGGCUGGGGGAAAAGAGGAGAACCCGUUCCGGAAGGAACUGUCUGAGGGACAAAGCCUGUGCAUAGGAAGAAACUUCAUUAUGGCACCUGCUCAGAUAACUCGUUUUUUAUUUCCAGGCCUGAAUAAAAAACAAGCUGCGUGUAUAUAUAGAAGGUAGGUAUCGAGCAUUUAAUGUGUAGCUUCUGGACACGGACACCCCUUGCAUUG